AACGUAGCUAAUACCGCAUAACGUCGCAAGACCAAAGAGGGGGACCUUCGGGCCUCUUGCCAUCGGAUGUGCCCAGAUGGGAUUAGCUAGUAGGUGGGGUAAAGGCUCACCUAGGCGACGAUCCCUAGCUGGUCUGAGAGGAUGACCAGCCACACUGGAACUGAGACACGGUCCAGACUCCUACGGGAGGCAGCAUG
RNAcentral lists this ribosomal RNA (197 nucleotides) under uncultured bacterium. Its description in RNAcentral is "partial 16S ribosomal RNA". It matches the Rfam family "Bacterial small subunit ribosomal RNA", at positions 156 to 353 of the family's 1533-position model. The record is from RNAcentral.